UACGUAGGGUGCAAGCGUUGUCCGGAAUUAUUGGGCGUAAAGGGCUCGUAGGCGGUCUGUCACGUCGGGAGUGAAAACUCGGGGCUUAACCCCGAGCCUGCUUUCGAUACGGGCAGACUAGAGGUAUGCAGGGGAGAAUGGAAUUCCUGGUGUAGCGGUGAAAUGCGCAGAUAUCGGGAGGAACACCAAUGGCGAAGGCAGCUCGCUGGGACGGUACUGACGCUGAGACGCGAAAGCGUGGGGAGCAAACAGG
RNAcentral lists this ribosomal RNA (253 nucleotides) under uncultured bacterium. RNAcentral's name for it is "partial 16S ribosomal RNA". It matches the Rfam family "Bacterial small subunit ribosomal RNA", at positions 524 to 776 of the family's 1533-position model. The record is from RNAcentral.